GUGGUAGCUCAGUUGGGUAAGCGCUCGCUUCUCACGCCAGAGAUUCGGGUUCAAAUCCCAACCCAGAAAUG
This 71-nucleotide transfer RNA is filed under the name Plutella xylostella (diamondback moth). Its description in RNAcentral is "tRNA-Glu". The stretch from base 3 to 63 matches the Rfam family "tRNA", at positions 6 to 65 of the family's 71-position model. Rfam says of the family: Transfer RNA (tRNA) molecules are approximately 80 nucleotides in length. Their secondary structure includes four short double-helical elements and three loops (D, anti-codon, and T loops). The record is from RNAcentral. Lineage: Eukaryota; Metazoa; Arthropoda; Insecta; Lepidoptera; Plutellidae.